Non-coding RNA from Cinara cedri, 545 nucleotides. The record is from the annotation of a GenBank genome assembly. Lineage: Eukaryota; Metazoa; Arthropoda; Insecta; Hemiptera; Aphididae.
AUUUAUAAAUGAUAAUUUUUAAUAUUUUAUUAAAUCAUUUGACUACAUUGUAUACUUAUUAUAUAUGUUUUGAAUAAUUAUUUUAUUCGGUAAUAUAUCCUUAAAUCAUUAUUAAUGAUGAUGACUCAUAUGCAUGAUCAUAAUAAAAAAUGGAUGUUAAUAUUUGUCUGUCUCCAACAAGAAGUUACUUUUGAAGUUUGUAUGGGAAAUUUCUAUAAUUUCUUUGAGGUAUGACCACGGGAGGUUGGGUGAUUAGAUGAAAUUUCACAAAUUAAUUUUACUGACAUUAUCCAAAGAGAAACCUAUCAAAUAUGUAUUUUUCCUAUUUUGCAUCUUUCCCUGAAUUUUCAAUUGGUCCUUUUUCUUCUUUUGCGUUUUACAAGUUUUAACAUAUUUCAAAAAAUUAUUGUUAGUUCCAGAUUCUUAUGUUCUGGGAUUAUAUGUUACAGAUUUUUCAGUCCAGGAUUUUACUUCCUCGCUUUUUACGUUCUGAAUUAUUGUUUAACAGAAUACUGAAUAUUACACUGUGGAUUUUAAUAGCUGUC